UGAAGCGGCAAAAGCUCAAAUUUGAAAUCUGGUACCUUUGGUGCCCGAGUUGUAAUUUGGAGAGUACCACUUUGGGACUGUACUUUGCCUAUGUUCCUUGGAACAGGACGUCAUGGAGGGUGAGAAUCCCGUGUGGCGAGGGUGUCAGUUCUUUGUAAAGGGUGCUCGAAGAGUCGAGUUGUUUGGGAAUGCAGCUCUAAGUGGGUGGUAAAUUCCAUCUAAAGCUAAAUACAGGCGAGAGACCGAUAGCGAACAAGUACAGUGAUGGAAAGAUGAAAAGAACUUUGAAAAGAGAGUGAAAAAGUACGUGAAAUUGUUGAAAGGGAAGGGCAUUUGAUCAGACAUGGUGUUUUGCGCCCCUUGCCUCUCGUGGGCUUGGGACUCUCGCAGCUCACUGGGCCAGCAUCGGUUUUGGCGGCCGGAAAAAACCUAGGGAAUGUGGCUCUGCGCCUCGGUGUAGAGUGUUAUAGCCCUGGGGAAUACGGCCAGCCGGGACCGAGGACUGCGAUACUUGUUAUCUAGGAUGCUGGCAUAAUGGUUAUAUGCCGCCCGUCUU
Molecule: ribosomal RNA, 556 nt
Filed under: Nakaseomyces glabratus
Lineage: Eukaryota; Fungi; Ascomycota; Saccharomycetes; Saccharomycetales; Saccharomycetaceae
Description: [Candida] glabrata partial large subunit ribosomal RNA
Rfam family: Eukaryotic large subunit ribosomal RNA
Source: RNAcentral